RNAcentral lists this ribosomal RNA (769 nucleotides) under Mycolicibacterium iranicum. Its description in RNAcentral is "partial 23S ribosomal RNA". It matches the Rfam family "Bacterial large subunit ribosomal RNA", at positions 1 to 711 of the family's 2925-position model. The record is from RNAcentral. Lineage: Bacteria; Bacillati; Actinomycetota; Actinomycetes; Mycobacteriales; Mycobacteriaceae.
UUGUAAGUGUUUAAGGGCGCAUGGUGGAUGCCUUGGCACUGGGAGCCGAUGAAGGACGUGGGAGGCUGCGAUAUGCCUCGGGGAGCUGUCAACCGAGCGUGGAUCCGAGGAUGUCCGAAUGGGGAAACCCGGCACGAGUGAUGUCGUGUCACCCAACGCUGAAUAUAUAGGCGUUGGGGGGGAACGCGGGGAAGUGAAACAUCUCAGUACCCGUAGGAAGAGAAAACAAAAGUGAUUCCGUUAGUAGUGGCGAGCGAACGCGGAGGAUGGCUAAACCGUGUGCAUGUGAUACCCGGCGGGGGUUGUGUGUGCGGUGUUGUGGGACAUUUCUUCUUCUGCCCGCCGGCAGGAGCGAAAGUGAUAAACCGUGGGGUUAGGUGAAGUGGUCUGGGAUGGCCUGUCGGAGAGGGUGAGAGCCCCGUAACCGAAAACUUCGCGGCUUUCGUGAGAUUGUUCCCGAGUAGCAGCGGGCCCGUGGAAUCUGCUGUGAAUCUGCCGGGACCACCCGGUAAGCCUGAAUACUUCCCAGUGACCGAUAGCGGAUGAGUACCGUGAGGGAAUGGUGAAAAGUACCCCGGGAGGGGAGUGAAAUAGUACCUGAAACCGUGCGCUUACAAUCCGUCAGAGCCUUCUCUUUUGAGUGGGGUGAUGGCGUGCCUUUUGAAGAAUGAGCCUGCGAGUCAGGGACAUGUCGCGAGGUUAACCCGGGUGGGGUAGCCGUAGCGAAAGCGAGUCUGAAUAGGGCGUAUCCAAUCCGUUGGGGUUGGUG